UAUGGAGGAUCCGAGCGUUAUCCGGAUUUAUUGGGUUUAAAGGGAGCGUAGGCGGGUUGUUAAGUCAGUUGUGAAAGUUUGCGGCUCAACCGUAAAAUUGCAGUUGAUACUGGCAUCCUUGAGUACAGUAGAGGUAGGCGGAAUUCGUGGUGUAGCGGUGAAAUGCUUAGAUAUCACGAAGGACUCCGAUUGCGAAGGCAGCCUGCUGGACUGUAACUGACGCUGAUGCUCGAAAGUGUGGGUAUCAAACAGG
Molecule: ribosomal RNA, 253 nt
Filed under: uncultured bacterium
Lineage: Bacteria
Description: partial 16S ribosomal RNA
Rfam family: Bacterial small subunit ribosomal RNA
Source: RNAcentral